Molecule: non-coding RNA, 29 nt
Filed under: Mus musculus (house mouse)
Lineage: Eukaryota; Metazoa; Chordata; Mammalia; Rodentia; Muridae
Source: RNAcentral
UGGCAAGUCUGUUGGAUCAGGUUGACUGC